RNAcentral lists this ribosomal RNA (336 nucleotides) under uncultured bacterium. RNAcentral describes it as "partial 16S ribosomal RNA". It matches the Rfam family "Bacterial small subunit ribosomal RNA", at positions 338 to 666 of the family's 1533-position model. The record is from RNAcentral.
CCUACGGGAGGCAGCAGUAGGGAAUCUUCCUCAAUGGGCGCAAGCCUGAUGGAGCCAAGUCGCGUGGGUGAAGACGGUCUUCGGAUCGUUAAACCUCGUUUUUCGAGAAGUAAGUGCGUGCGCGUAACUGUUUACGUUUCGACGGUAUCUAACCAGAUCGCCUCGGCUAACUACGGGCCACCCGCCGCGGUAAUACGUAGGUGGCAUGCGGUAUCCGGAUUUAUUUGGCGUAAAGGGAACGCAGGCGGUCCUUUAAGUCUGAUGGGAAAGCCUUCGGGUUAAACGGAGUAGUGCAUUGGAAACUGGGAGACUUGAGUGCAGGAGAGGUGAGUGGAA